This 239-nucleotide ribosomal RNA is filed under the name uncultured marine Prymnesiales. RNAcentral's name for it is "partial Eukaryotic large subunit ribosomal RNA". It matches the Rfam family "Eukaryotic large subunit ribosomal RNA", at positions 1250 to 1488 of the family's 3401-position model. Lineage: Eukaryota; Haptophyta; Prymnesiales. The record is from RNAcentral.
GGCCAUGGAAGUCGGAAUCCCCUAAGGAGUGUGUAACAACUCACCUGCCGAAGGUACUAGCCCUGAAAAUGGAUGGCGCUCAAGCGGACCACCGAUGCGCGGCCGCCGGCGCGAGCGCGAGGCGCCGGCGAGUAGGAGGGCGCGGGGUUCGCGACGCAGCCUUGGGCGUGAGCCUGGGUGAAGCGGCCUCCGGUGCAGAUCUUGGUGGUAGUAGCAUAUAUUCAAUAGAGAACAUUGAA